Molecule: ribosomal RNA, 52 nt
Filed under: Pichia fermentans
Lineage: Eukaryota; Fungi; Ascomycota; Pichiomycetes; Pichiales; Pichiaceae
Description: partial 28S ribosomal RNA
Source: RNAcentral
CAGAUCAGGUAGGAAUACCCGCUGAACUUAAGCAUAUCAAUAAGCCGGAGGA